Molecule: long non-coding RNA, 961 nt
Organism: Oncorhynchus masou masou (cherry salmon)
Lineage: Eukaryota; Metazoa; Chordata; Actinopteri; Salmoniformes; Salmonidae
Exons: 3
Source: RefSeq, a predicted model, not a curated record
AACAUAAUUCUCUUCUCAACUACUUCCUGGAGGACAUUCGUGCCAUGCUGACUCUCUCUAACUCUGAAAAUGAAUCAGACGAUGAGGAAAUCCCUGAUUUAGCAUCAGUAGAACAUGCCUGACUCUCCUCCACCAGUCAUACAAGGAGAAUGGUGUAAUGCCUCCCAUCAAAAAGAGAGCUGGCCCAAGCAAGCACAGGUUACACCUGAAGCAUGAGGACUUGCAGCGAGUGGUGAACUUGAUCAACAACAACGCAGAGGAUAAUGCAAUAGUGUUACCAGGACGCCACCCAGGACACAAACACUUUAGUGGAAAGCUGCUGCAAUCCCAUGUGACAAAAGCAGCAGUGUGGCGUCUCUACAAGGAAUUGAUGGCAACACUUGCUGGUUUGACUGGAGGAUGGUACGGUGCUGGUGGAAAGCUAUGGUUGGCAGCAACACCCUACUCAGUACUGCAGGUCAUUGUCACAGAUCAAGCAGUACAAUCACUUCAGGUGAAUAUCAUUUUCAUUGCAUGAUAUUAUUUUUUAUCUAAACUUAGUGGAAUAGGGUUUGUCAUUAUGGGGUAUUGUGUGUAUAUUGAUGAAGAAAAAAUAAUUUAAUCAAUUUUAGAAUAAGACUGUAACCUAACAAAAGGUCAAAGGGACUGAAUACUUUCCGAAGGCAUUGUAUUUACCACUAUUGUCAGGAUUUGGCCAGGGUUGUUCCGGGUUUUGGUCACUAGAUGCCCCCAUUGUGCUUUUUGACCUUAUGUUUUUUCCCUUGAUUCCCAUUAUUAUUUGCACCUGUGCCUCGUUUCCCCUGAUUGUAUUUAAACCCUUAGUUUCCCUCAGUUCUGUGCUCUGUGUUUGUAUGUUAGCACCCAGCCCUAGUGUUCUGUGUAUUCUUGUCGAUUCCGGUGGACGCUCUUGUGGAAUUCUGUUUUUGUUUUUUGAGUAUCUCUUGAGGCUUUUUUGUGCUAU